AGGACGAACGCUGGCGGCGUGCUUAACACAUGCAAGUCGAGCGGAAAGGCCCUUCGGGGUACUCGAGCGGCGAACGGGUGAGUAACACGUGAGUAAUCUGCCCAUCGCUUCAGGAUAGCCAUCGGAAACGGUGAUUAAUACUGGAUAUGACAUUCCUUCGCAUGUUGGGGUGUGGAAAGUUUUUUCGGCGGUGGAUGUGCUCGCGGCCUAUCAGCUUGUUGGUGGGGUAAUGGCCUACCAAGGCUUUGACGGGUAGCCGGCCUGAGAGGGUGACCGGCCACACUGGGACUGAGACACGGCCCAGACUCCUACGGGAGGCAGCAGUGGGGAAUAUUGGACAAGUGGGCGGAAGCCUGAUCCAGCAACGCCGCGUGAGGAUGACGGCCUUCGGGUUGUAAACCGUCUUCAGCUCAGACGUAAGUUUGCUUUUUUGGUGUAAGUGACGGUAUGUGCGAGGAGAAGGACCGGCCAACGUACGUGCCAGCCAGCCGC
Molecule: ribosomal RNA, 492 nt
Filed under: uncultured soil bacterium
Lineage: Bacteria
Description: bacterial SSU rRNA
Rfam family: Bacterial small subunit ribosomal RNA
Source: RNAcentral